Long non-coding RNA from Macrobrachium nipponense, 1121 nucleotides. RefSeq lists it as uncharacterized. The transcript has 3 exons. The record is from RefSeq and is a predicted model, not a curated record. NCBI's taxonomy places the organism in Eukaryota, Metazoa, Arthropoda, Malacostraca, Decapoda, Palaemonidae.
GGGGGUAACAAAGCUCUUGGAAAAGCAGAGGCUAGAGGAAGGCAGUUGACCCAACUUCUUGCUCUUGCACACAAGACAAUGGAUUCCUUAUUUGAGGGUGUUGUGGAAAAAGAGGCAUAUACACACACCAGAGAGUGCACUUUGAAUGCUCCUCCUAUAAACUUUGAAGGCAAUGAUGGUACUGACACUGUAUGUGGAUUUCUUGCUGCUCUGACACGCUUGGGCAACAUCUUGAAGUUUAUUUCACAGAUGCUACAUCUGAGGGUAAUGAAUGUAUAUCUGUAGUGCCAUAUCAUACUCUAAGCCCAAUAUUUAGAUUAUUACAGGUAGACAGCAGAGUUCUGAAAGCUUAUCGAAGUCAAGAACACCAGAUACUUUCUUUCCUUAUCGUUUCGAUACAUCAUCAUUGCCUGUGGUUGCUGAGAGAUAUGAUAAUGAGGUUAGUUUAGUAGGUAAUAAGGUAUCAGAUAUCUUGGUUUUAAGGAGCAGAACUUUUUUUGUACAACCUUAUUCCUUAUAUCACAGCCUCUCUUGCAUAGUGGAAUCCCAGGCAUAUUAACUUCCUAGCAGUAAGUUUGGUAGCACCUGGAAGGUCUGCUAACACUGGAACAAGUUCUGCUGCUGGAAAACCUCUUACCUGAGGUUUUACUAAAUAACCUCCAUGUAGGGGGAUAGCAUGUCCAGGUUCCUAUGAACAUGGCAAAAAUGUGUCUGGUGAGGUUUCCCCCAACUGGGAAGAAUCCCAGAGGAAUCUACUCUUAGAUAUAUAAGAUCCAUAAACCUUGUUCUACUUUGGCCAGAGAGAUGCUAGUACUAUCAUGGAGCAAUGCUGAGAGUGCUGAACAGUGUCUACUACCUCCCAGUUGUUGAAACCAGUCUAUUUGAUGUUGUACAACGGUACAAGCCUCUGUCCCUUUCAGCAUACAACAUGACUACGGUGGCACAUUAAAGACAUCAAGUGCAGGGGUUUUCACAGUUGUGUUGGAUACCCCUUGUAGACUUGUUUGCAACCAGCUUCGGUCACAAGGCGGCCUUGAUUUACAACACAAAGGCUGGGCAUUACAUUGGGUUCUUAUGGUUAAGGUUGGAAAAAUGUAUACAGGGGGCACUCCACCAAACUG